RNAcentral lists this ribosomal RNA (467 nucleotides) under uncultured bacterium. Its description in RNAcentral is "partial 16S ribosomal RNA". It matches the Rfam family "Bacterial small subunit ribosomal RNA", at positions 28 to 507 of the family's 1533-position model. The record is from RNAcentral.
GAUGAACGCUGGCGGCGUGCUUAACACAUGCAAGUCGAACGGAAAGGCCCAACCUUGCUGGGGUACUCGAGUGGCGAACGGGUGAGUAACACGUGGGUGAUCUGCCCUGCACUUCGGGAUAAGCCUGGGAAACUGGGGCUAAUACCGGAUAGGACCACCUCCUGGAUGGUGGGGGGGGGAGAGUUUUCGGGGUGGGGUGAGCUCGCGGCCUAUCAGCUUGUGGGGGGGGGAAUGGCCUACCAAGACGUCGAGGGGUAGCGGGCCCGAGAGGGGGUACGGGCCCAUUGUGGCUGUGAUACGCCCCACACUCCUACGCGAGGCAGCGGUGUGGAAUAUUUCACACUGGGCGCAAGCCCGAUGCAGAGCCGCGGCGUGGGCGAUGACGGCCUUCGCGUGGUGAACUCCUCUCGCUCCGGACGCAGCGUUUUGUGACGGUACCUGGAGAAGAAGCCCCGGCUUACUUCGUG